This 497-nucleotide ribosomal RNA is filed under the name uncultured bacterium. RNAcentral's name for it is "partial 16S ribosomal RNA". It matches the Rfam family "Bacterial small subunit ribosomal RNA", at positions 28 to 507 of the family's 1533-position model. The record is from RNAcentral.
GAUGAACGCUGGCGGCGUGCCUAAUACAUGCAAGUCGAGCGAACAGACGAGGAGCUUGCUCCUCUGACGUUAGCGGCGGACGGGUGAGUAACAUGUGGAUAACCUAGCUAUAAGACUGGGAUAACUUCGGGAAACCGUAGCUUAUUCCGGCUAAUAUCUUGAACCGCAUGGUUCAAUAUUGAAAGACGUUUUUCCUGUCACUUAUAGAUGGAUCCGCGCCGCAUUAGCUAGUUGGUAAGGUAACGGCUUACCAAGGCAACGAUGCGUAGCCGACCUGAGAGGGUGAUCGGCCACACUGGAACUGAGACACGGUCCAGACUCCUACGGGAGGCAGCAGUAGGGAAUCUUCCGCAAUGGGCGAAAGCCUGACGGAGCAACGCCGCGUGAGUGAUGAAGGUCUUCGGAUCGUAAAACUCUUUUAUUAGGGAAGAACAAAUGUGUAAGUAACUAUGCACGGCUUGACGGUACCUAAUCAGAAAGCCACGGCUAACUACGUG